CGAGAAGCCCCUGCAGUGAGAGGAAGCCCGUCCACUGCAGCUAGGGAGUAGCCCUGGUCCCCUACUAUAAGCCAGUGUAUAGCAAGGAAGACCCUGUGGGGCCAAAAGGAAAUAAAUUUCAAAAUAAGUUCUUUCUCUAACUGAACAGAAAACUUGGUUCUCACAACUUCCACCCAUUGGUCCAAGGUCUUUCCUUUGGGUGAAAUAGAGUAAGUCCGACCCAUUUUUAUGAGACAGGCUUUAAUACAUUAGUUGAAAAGAUACGCUGCAAGUCUUCCCUUCUCUAGCUUAAACUCAAAGUUCUCACAACCCUCUUUCAUAUGAAAAAGCCCCCAGAGCCUCAUAACCUCAGGGUACCCUAAAAUUAUGGACACAGAUGUGAAUGUAAUAUUUCUGCACAGCCUGAGCACGCACCCUCCAAGGGAGGCCACACUCAUGAACAGAGUCUCAGGUGGCCUGAGCUUUAAAAGCCAUGUUCCACUAGGGGCCUGCAGUCUAGCAAAAUGACCGGGUUGUGUGAUGCUGCGGUUAAUCCUGAUGCUGUCACUCCUCGUAAGCAUUCUGUCCGCCAGCUUGUGACAUCCAUCAGUUUUAUGAGCAUGAACAGGCCUUCUGAAAAUUUAUCCACAAGGUGACUGACUGCCUUGAGUGGCAGGACCGAGCCUUGAGGCAGACCUAGCAGUCACAGUGCCCAGAGCCGUGUGGCCAGCACUUUGCCAGCCUCCUCCCUAGAGUUCUCAGCCCAGUGACUUGUCAUUCAACUCUUGUGGAGCGUUAUCUUGCCACAAGGUCAGGAGGAAGCAUCUUGAUGGACACUGUGCGGAAAUAAUGAAAACACUUCAGCAGCUGCCUCUGAUCUGCUUGCUUCAAGAAAAGAAAUUAAUUUGGCAAUUGCACUGGUUUUCAGAGUUUAUGCUUUUAUUUUCUUUUGGGAGGAUCAGGUAGUAAGUGCCAGCUUCCCCUUCGUUUCUACACCUUUGAUAUCUUGUGGCCACUAAGAACUGUGACCAAGUGCUGUCUCAGUAUUCACAGGUCGGUGCGUGGGCAGGGAGCAGGGCAGAAACAUGUGUUGGCCUUAUUUUGUUUCCGUGAGAAUAAAGUGAUGUGUUUUGAAGAGUACACAAUUGUGAUUCCACAAGAGGCCAAGCUGCCCUCUAGUGGCUGUUAGAGAAUUGUGUCCAUCCAGCACAGCCUGCUCAAGCUGGGCAUGACUUUAGAAGUUUAUCACCUUGAGCAUACCUUGCCAUUUUUCAUCUAAUGGCAGUCACGCUACUUUGAUUUUAUUUGAUUUUAAUCUAGGCUAGAGCUGCAAUAUAGAAUUUCACUAAUAGUUAAGUUUGUCCAGCUCUCUGUUGUAAAGUUGAUGACUUGGGUGUUUUAAG
RNAcentral lists this long non-coding RNA (1382 nucleotides) under Bos taurus (domestic cattle). RNAcentral describes it as "long non-coding RNA NONBTAT031083". The record is from RNAcentral. Lineage: Eukaryota; Metazoa; Chordata; Mammalia; Artiodactyla; Bovidae.